UGGAGGGCAAGUCUGGUGCCAGCAGCCGCGGUAAUUCCAGCUCCAGUAGCGUAUAUUAAAGUUGUUGCAGUUAAAAAGCUCGUAGUUGAAUUUCGGGAUUAGUGCGCCGGUCGUGCUUUCGGUAUGUACUGGUGUUACUGGUUCCUACCUUCUGACGAACCGUCAUGUCAUUAAUUUGGUGUGGCGGGGAAUCAGGACUGUUACUUUGAAAAAAUUAGAGUGUUUAAAGCAGGCUCGCGCUUGAAUACAUUAGCAUGGAAUAAUGAAAUAGGACGUUCGAUCCUAUUUUGUUGGUUUCUAGGAUUGACGUAAUGAUUAAUAGGGAUAGUUGGGGGCAUUAGUAUUCAAUUGUCAGAGGUGAAAUUCUUGGAUUUAUUGAAGACUAACUACUGCGAAAGCAUUUGCCAAGGAUGUUUUCAUUAAUCAAGAACGAAAGUUAGGGGAUCGAAGACGAUCAGAUACCGUCGUAGUCUUAACCAUAAACUAUGCCGACUAGGGAUCGGAUGAUGUUAUUUUUAAUGACUCAUUCGGCGCCUUACGGGAAACCAAAGUGUUUGGGUUC
This 562-nucleotide ribosomal RNA is filed under the name uncultured Glomeromycotina. RNAcentral describes it as "SSU rRNA". It matches the Rfam family "Eukaryotic small subunit ribosomal RNA", at positions 549 to 1114 of the family's 1831-position model. The record is from RNAcentral. Lineage: Eukaryota; Fungi; Glomeromycota.